ACGCUUUAACUGAUUAGCGAAAUGAAAAAUGAAUGCCUUUAUCAUUGAAACGUAACAGAUAAAACGAAACAAUAGUUUGCACGUUUUGCACGUAUAUAUCCAGGUAUAACGCUUAUUAAGGAUGUUUGAAAGCAUUAAGUUUAAAUGAUAUAUAGAUUGAAAGUUUCUUAACAUUAAUUGGCACAGAUGUCGUAGUUUUUUUGUGACGGGCAGUGCAGAAUAAAAAAAACAGGAAUGAGUCACUCUAGAGCGGAAUAGGGCGAUUGAACAGUUUGCGUGAAGUGUGAAAUAGAGUCUAUCUCUUUAUGCCAAUUGAACUUAGAUUUAAAAAUAAUCACAGCUAAGAUUCCCUUGUUGCUGAGCCAAUUUAUGCGUUCCGAAAAUGAAACCGCUAAGAGUCUUAAGCGCAGUGAUUGAAGAAACUCAAAUGAAUCUUAAAACUUCUUCGGAAGAUGAAUCUCAGCUUGGUACAUUAGCCUUGCUCGAACCACCACCACCACCUACUCCAGACUGUACUCGUUUAUAUUUGUGGAUCUCAGUAGCAGUUAUUGUUCUGGCUUCAUUGAUUAUUGCUGGAAUACUAACAUUUUUCUGCAGACGCAAUAGAGAGUCUGAAACUGAGAAAUCGGCAAUCAAAAAUGAGACAAUUUCUAAAUAACUACCCACGGACUCUUAAAGGAAGGCCUUUAAAAUAAUGUUAUUCACAUUAUUUCCAAAGGAUUAAGAUGGCCGCUCUAGUCUAAGUCACAUCAUAACCAACAUAGAACUGCAAAAUUCGAGAGAAAGUGGAGAUGAAUCGUCCAGAUCAGAAGCAAGGCCUCAUUUCCAGUUCCAUGCAAUCACAGGGGACAAUAUUAAGCUAACUAUGGUUGAACGGUACUAAACUCUCUGCUAGUUUUUAUGGUUGUAUUGGUGAUAUGUUAACUGUAGGAUUAUGAUUAUUAGUAUCUUAAAUGCCAAUUAAGAGUGAGAUUUUACAAUUAAGAAAUUUACCUGUUGCAAAGAAAAAUAUCUGCAAUAAAAAAUAUUUAUGUGAAA
This is an RNA transcript of Dendroctonus ponderosae (mountain pine beetle), 1038 nucleotides long. RefSeq lists it as uncharacterized. The record is from RefSeq and is a predicted model, not a curated record. The transcript is spliced from 5 exons. Lineage: Eukaryota; Metazoa; Arthropoda; Insecta; Coleoptera; Curculionidae.